GCUAGGGUGGCAGAGCCCGGUAAUUGCAUAAAACUUAAGCUUUUAUUAUCAGAGGUUCAACUCCUCUCCUUAACA
This 75-nucleotide transfer RNA is filed under the name Prionailurus bengalensis (leopard cat). Its description in RNAcentral is "tRNA-Leu". It matches the Rfam family "tRNA". From Rfam's summary of the family: Transfer RNA (tRNA) molecules are approximately 80 nucleotides in length. Their secondary structure includes four short double-helical elements and three loops (D, anti-codon, and T loops). The record is from RNAcentral. Lineage: Eukaryota; Metazoa; Chordata; Mammalia; Carnivora; Felidae.